GCAUAAGGCCACUUGAACACGCCCGAUCUCGUCCGAUCUCGGAAGCUAAGCAGCGUUGGGCCGGGUUUGUAGUUGGAUGGGAGACCGCCUGGAAAUACCGGUUGCUGUAGGCU
This 113-nucleotide ribosomal RNA is filed under the name Jaculus jaculus (lesser Egyptian jerboa). Lineage: Eukaryota; Metazoa; Chordata; Mammalia; Rodentia; Dipodidae. The record is from RNAcentral.